This is a non-coding RNA of Linepithema humile (Argentine ant), 1385 nucleotides long. NCBI's taxonomy places the organism in Eukaryota, Metazoa, Arthropoda, Insecta, Hymenoptera, Formicidae. The record is from RefSeq and is a predicted model, not a curated record.
UAAAAAAUUGUUGCCUCUCUUGAAACAAUAUAAUCUAUGUUCGCGCCAAUUACGCUAUGACGUGAAAUUGCUGAGCGUCCAUUUUCUAUUGCUUCACGAAAGUCGGUUGCGUCGCAUCACGUCUCGUAUAAAAUUGUGUAUUUUACUUGUGUAGAAGUGUGUUUCGCGAGUGAAAAAGUAUCGGAAGUGCGAUUCUAAUGCCGGGCGUAUGUCGUAGCGUGUUAACAAGUGCGCGCGAUCGUAAUUAGCUGUUAUCUCACGAGACGCGAUUCACGCUCGCGGUCAGUAGUCGCGUAGUAAAUUUCGCUGCCGUGCUCGCACAGUUUGCAUCGUUUAAAAGCGCGUAUUUUCCGCAUUUUACUCGUCAAAUCAUGCACACCGGUAUUAUCAGUACCCAUAAUCGUGAGCGUGCCGUGUUUUUCUAACCGAUUCGUAUUAGUGAGUGAAUGCCUUUGAAGACAAUACGUUUGACGACAACGGAUCAUCCAUCUUACAAUUAGUUCUUAGGCGAUACAUAAUUAAUGGACUUGGAAGAAAGAUUACAACGUCAGGUGUUAGCGUUACAACAACCGAUGAGUAAAAUUUGCCAAGGAAAAGUUCACAAAUUAGAAAACAAAUAAAAUGACUUGGAAGAAGGAUUACAACGUCGGGUGUCAGCGUUACAACAACCGGACACCCAGUAGAGAUCCAGAAUCAAAUUCUCUCUCUUCGUCUUCCAGAACUUAAAUCCAAUUCCAGAUUUUCAACAGACAGCGGUACAGCACUGAAUGGAACUAUAAGGGUGGUUGCAGGGCAUCAAGGGUCGAAGAGUGAUGCCCCGCAUGACCGUGCCCCGUACGUAAAGUGGACGAAAUUAAUCGCGCAAUAAAAGCCGACGGCCAGGCACUAACAUGUUUUAGUGCACUCCAAAUUCCGGAAAAUAUAUCGUUCACACCUGUGAGACAAGCAAGAGGUGAAGUCAGGACGUUAAGGUACCGAAUUACAUACUUAAGCUUUCCACGAAGGUACAUUUCACCAGAUAAACCACGGCUCCGCACCGCACCGGCGUGGUUUAACACAAAAGGCAGCAUAAACUUUCGGAGUGAGCGGGUGCCGCAUCGCAAACGGCAAAACUAGACGCAACACACAACACCAACCACCGUCGCCUCUCUUUGGCAUUACUUCGAGCAUGUAAUGGAGCUCGCCAGGUCGACGAGAACCAAAAGGUGCAUCCUUUCCGGACAAAUACCACCGUGAUACCAGCAGCAACGCAAGAACAAAUAUUUGAUGGAACGAACGAUGUAUAAAUCUCUACUGAAAACAACGCUAAAAGGCAUCGCCAGCGACUGCGUGAAAUUAUAUUAUAAUUUUAUUUAGAAAUGAAAAGGAUUGCAUAUGAAAUCAAC